GUGGCAGUAGCUCAGUUGGAUAGAGCAACGGCCUUCUAAGCCGUAGGUCGUGGGUUCAAUUCCCUCCUGCCACACCA
This 77-nucleotide transfer RNA is filed under the name Glaciimonas sp. Its description in RNAcentral is "tRNA-Arg". It matches the Rfam family "tRNA". From Rfam's summary of the family: Transfer RNA (tRNA) molecules are approximately 80 nucleotides in length. Their secondary structure includes four short double-helical elements and three loops (D, anti-codon, and T loops). Lineage: Bacteria; Pseudomonadati; Pseudomonadota; Betaproteobacteria; Burkholderiales; Oxalobacteraceae. The record is from RNAcentral.